AGGACACGUGCCCGAAAAUAGGGGCCACUUUGA
This 33-nucleotide transfer RNA is filed under the name Andrias davidianus (Chinese giant salamander). RNAcentral describes it as "partial tRNA-Ile". Lineage: Eukaryota; Metazoa; Chordata; Amphibia; Caudata; Cryptobranchidae. The record is from RNAcentral.